AUUGAACGCUGGCGGCAUGCCUUACACAUGCAAGUCGAACGGCAGCACGGGUGCUUGCACCUGGUGGCGAGUGGCGAGCGGGUGAGUAAUACAUCGGAACAUGUCCUGUAGUGGUGGAUAGCCCGGCGAAAGCCGGAUUAAUACCGCAUACGAUCUACGGAUGAAAGCGGGGGACCUUCGGGCCUCGCGCUAUAGGGUUGGCCGAUGGCUGAUUAGCUAGUUGGUGGGGUAAAGGCCUACCAAGGCGACGAUCAGUAGCUGGUCUGAGAGGACGACCAGCCACACUGGGACUGAGACACGGCCCAGACUCCUACGGGAGGCAGCAGUGGGGAAUUUUGGACAAUGGGCGAAAGCCUGAUCCAGCAAUGCCGCGUGUGUGAAGAAGGCCUUCGGGUUGUAAAGCACUUUUGUCCGGAAAGAAAUCCUUGGCCCUAAUACGGUCGGGGGAUGACGGUACCGGAAGAAUAAGCACCGGCUAACUACGUG
RNAcentral lists this ribosomal RNA (486 nucleotides) under uncultured bacterium. Its description in RNAcentral is "partial 16S ribosomal RNA". It matches the Rfam family "Bacterial small subunit ribosomal RNA", at positions 30 to 507 of the family's 1533-position model. The record is from RNAcentral.